Molecule: ribosomal RNA, 579 nt
Filed under: uncultured bacterium
Lineage: Bacteria
Description: bacterial SSU rRNA
Rfam family: Bacterial small subunit ribosomal RNA
Source: RNAcentral
CAGAUCUCCAGUCUUAGAGUUUGAUCAUGGCUCAGAACGAACGCUGGCGGCAGGCUUAACACAUGCAAGUCGAACGGGCGUAGCAAUACGUCAGCGGCAGACGGGUGAGGAACACGUGGGAAUAUCCCCUUCAGUUCGGAAUAGCUCAGGGAAACUUGAGCUAAUACCGGAUACGUCAGAGAUGAGAAAGAUUUAUCGCUGAAGGAUUAGCCCGCGUCUGAUUAGCUAGUUGGUGAGGUAAUGGCUCACCAAGGCGACGAUCAGUAGCUGGUCUGAGAGGAUGAUCAGCCACAUUGGGACUGAGACACGGCCCAAACUCCUACGGGAGGCAGCAGUGGGGAAUAUUGGACAAUGGGCGAAAGCCUGAUCCAGCCAUGCCGCGUGAGUGAUGAAGGCCUUCGGGUUGUAAAGCUCUUUUGUCCAGUAAGAUAAUGACUGUACCGGAAGAAUAAGCCCCGGCAAACUUCGUGCCAGCAGCCGCGGUAAUACGAAGGGGGCUAUCGUUGUUCGGAAUCACUGGGCGUAAAGCGCACGUAGGCGGCUUGUGAAGUCAGGGUGAAAGCCUGUAGCUCAACUCCA